GAUGAAGAACGUAGCGAAAUGCGAUACGUAAUGUGAAUUGCAAAUUCAGUGAAUCAUCGAGUCUUUGAACGCACAUUGCGCCCCCUGGUAUUCCGGGGGGCGUGCCUGUCCGAGCGUCAUUGCUGCCCUCAAGCACGGCUUGUGUGUUGGGCCCCGUCCUCCGAUCCCGGGGGACGGGCCCGAAAGGCAGCGGCGGCACCGCGUCCGGUCCUCGAGCGUAUGGGGCUUUGUCACCCGCUCUGUAGGCCCGGCCGGCGCUUGCCGAUCAACCCAAAUUUUUAUCCAGGUUGACCUCGGAUCAGGUAGGGAUACCCGCUGAACUUAAGCAUAUCAAUAAGCGGAGGA
Molecule: unclassified non-coding RNA, 345 nt
Filed under: soil metagenome
Description: partial contains 5.8S ribosomal RNA, internal transcribed spacer 2, and large subunit ribosomal RNA
Rfam family: 5.8S ribosomal RNA (bases 1-119)
Source: RNAcentral